AUGUUACUAAUAUACAUUACAAAGAUUCUUCUUUUUUUUUUUUUCUCCUCACAUUCGUUCGGAGUACUCUUCAUGAGGAUGGACAGGAGAAGAUCCUGCCUGUGGAUACGGAGGGAAACACUGGAGGGAGAAGUCUAUGCAGUGGAGCUGAGGAAGAUCAGUCACCCACUUCUUGGCAUCCCUUCAGCAUCUAUUCAGGCAGCUCCAUUACCUUCCAUGGAUAGUCUCUUUUUUGGCCCUGGAAAAAGCAGGAAAAAAAAUGGUAUGUCUCCCGCGAUCGUCCCUUCCGCCAGGGCAACCGGAUCAAUAACGCCGGCGCCCGCUCUCCGUCGAUGCCACCUGCGGCCGCGGAGCCGGCCCUGUCACAGCAUCCCUGUGGCAGAGGAAGACCACAGCUGCAUCCCCAGAGGGCUGCGAAAGCCAUCGCCUAAGAACUCUCUGUUGUCUCCCUUGCGUCCUGCAGGCGGUUCCGUAAGUGGUGGCAAGCCAGUGGCGGGGCUGCCUCCCUAAAUCUCACCUGCCUGACCUCAGCUUGACAACGUCUUAACAGGCGCAGAGAACCAUCAAGGCUCCGUGCGGAGCCGGGCGCUCCAUCAGCCUCUCGGCAGAUGUCGGGGCCCGGGGCUGGAUGCGGAGUGGGGAGCGGGAGACAGGUUUGCGCGCACAUCAAGGCCCCGCGCGGUGGAGUCAGCCUGUCUCGUGCUCACAGGCAGAACUCUUCCUCCUCGGUCGCAUGUCACACUGUCAUGCUGCCUCUUCCCUGUGUGUAAAGUGGUAAGGUGUGAGUUUAAUUAGCAUAGAACAAAAUUUCUUAGUCUCUAAUAAUAACACCUUGAAUUUUUAUGUUACCUGCUCUCCAAGGAGCUCAGAGCAUUACACACACACACACACACACACACACACACACACACACACUCUCACACUUCUUCAUUUUUGUCUCAUUGGACUCCAAAGGCAGAGGUCAUUGGCCCAUUCUGCAGACAGGGAAACCGAGGCGGAGGGUGCUUUGUGGCUCACUAAAGUACAGAGGGAGCUCCGCUGUGGCCUUCUGGCUUCAUGGGUAGCCUUCAGUUCUGUGCAGAAUGUGUGAGUUUAAAUUCCUGGAAAGAAGGGUGAUGGGAUUGGUGCAGGGGCUUCAACAGGAGCGCCUUCAGACAAAUGGUAGGGGACAUGCAUGAAUGGGUGUACACAGCAGGGAGUGACAGGGCCUGGGUGAACCCGAGUGGGCCCCCGCUGGAAGGAGAUGCCUUCUCUGGCUCUUGAGAUGUGUUAGCAUGCAAGACAGCAAGCCCAGCGUUGUCAGGUCUUCCAAUGUAUACAUAUGCAAAUGUUGACCUGGAAAAAAAAAAAGGAAAGAAAAAACCCAUUCUUCGAUACCUAAUAUGUAUCUCGUGGGGCACAACCCCAUAGGCUCCCCUCGGUGACAUUUCGGCUAAGGCAGUGUUUGCGUGAGACCGGGGUGCUGGCUUGCACUGGGUGCAUUAGGUUUGGUCAAGAAAAGCACUGGCCUAGGGCAACCGCUGGAGGCUUUCCUGAAUCUUGAUCCCUGAAUCAUGGGCACCGCAGUGCCUUGGAGAGAAAGAGAUGAAACCCAAAGAGGCAGAGGAAAAAGAAUGUGGUCCCUUGGCUGACAGGAGAACCCCAGAACAUUCUAGCUGGAGAUUCCAGGGUCAGGAGGGUCGUGGUGCCUUUGCCAAGGACAGAAUUGCUGAGAGAACCCCUCAUGGGACAUUCCACCUGGGAGAGGGGACAGUGAAUGUUUCCACAGCAGGUGCUCCAGGUGGAAGGAGGACAGGCAGGGAGGGACGCCCUGUGGCUGUGUGUUUGGGGGCUUCUGUGCUUCCCGGGAGAGUAGAAAUUGUGACACUAAUUUCGUUUCCACUUUGAGGUCAUCCACUUUUUUUAAAUUUUUUUUUUGGGGGGUCUUUUUAGGGCCGUAUCCGAGGCAUAUGGAGGUUCCCUGGCUAGGGGUCACAUCAGAGCUGUAGCCACCAGCCUACACCUCCGUCACAGCAAUGCCAGAUCCGAGCCAUGUCUGUGACCUACACCACAGCUCACGGCAACGCCGGAUCCUUAACCCACUGAACGAGGCCAGGGAUCCAACCUAGUCAGACUCGUGUCCACUGAGCCACAGCAGGAACUCCAGAGGUCAUCCACUUUUUAUUUGGCCAAGUGAGAACAAGAAAGGAAAUAAAUAGCAACCAUCUCUGUUCUGUUGAAGAAAG
RNAcentral lists this long non-coding RNA (2225 nucleotides) under Sus scrofa (pig). RNAcentral's name for it is "lncRNA (ENSSSCG00035007107.1)". Lineage: Eukaryota; Metazoa; Chordata; Mammalia; Artiodactyla; Suidae. The record is from RNAcentral.